RNAcentral lists this ribosomal RNA (468 nucleotides) under uncultured bacterium. RNAcentral's name for it is "partial 16S ribosomal RNA". It matches the Rfam family "Bacterial small subunit ribosomal RNA", at positions 28 to 507 of the family's 1533-position model. The record is from RNAcentral.
GACGAACGCUGGCGGCGCGCCUAACACAUGCAAGUCGAACGGAGUCAAGAGGAGCUUGCCUUUCUUGACUUAGUGGCGAACGGGUGAGUAACGCGUGAGUAACCUGCCCUGGAGUGGGGGACAACAGUUGGAAACGACUGCUAAUACCGCAUAAGCCCACGGAUCCGCAUGGAUCUGCGGGAAAAGGAUUUAUUCGCUUCAGGAUGGACUCGCGUCCAAUUAGCUAGUUGGUGAGGUAACGGCCCACCAAGGCGACGAUUGGUAGCCGGACUGAGAGGUUGAACGGCCACAUUGGGACUGAGACACGGCCCAGACUCCUACGGGAGGCAGCAGUGGGGGAUAUUGCACAAUGGGGGAAACCCUGAUGCAGCGACGCCGCGUGGAGGAAGAAGGUUUUCGGAUUGUAAACUCCUGUCGUUAGGGACGAUAAUGACGGUACCUAACAAGAAAGCACCGGCUAACUACGUG